AAAAAAAAAAAAAAGAAGAAUUAACAGAAAUAGAUAGAAGAAACUUAGAUGGCCUAACAAGGUACUAAUUGUGUACAAAAGAACUAUGAAACAGUUUUGGGUUUAAGGCAAAUAUUUUACAUUUUUGAGAUAAGGAAACAAGAAGAACAAUAAAGGCAAAAAAGACACAGUGAAUAUGUCUCCAAGAAUGCAUAUUAAAUAAUGACAAAAUAAAUUGACCUUUAUGCAAAUUGUCAAUUUUAUCCAAUCCUUUAAUAUUAUUAAUUUUACUAUUAGCCGUUAGGAUUGGUGUCAAUUCUUGCAUUCAAUUUAAAAAAAAAAAAAUU
This 326-nucleotide unclassified non-coding RNA is filed under the name Hevea brasiliensis (rubber tree). The record is from RNAcentral. Lineage: Eukaryota; Viridiplantae; Streptophyta; Magnoliopsida; Malpighiales; Euphorbiaceae.